CUCAAUGGCCAUACCACCCUGAAAGCGCCCGAUCUCGUCUGAUCUCGGAAGCUAAGCAGGGACGGGCCUGGUUAGUACCUGGAUGGGAGACCGCCUGGGAAUACCAGGUGUUGUAGGCU
Xenopus tropicalis (tropical clawed frog) is the source of this 119-nucleotide ribosomal RNA. NCBI's taxonomy places the organism in Eukaryota, Metazoa, Chordata, Amphibia, Anura, Pipidae. The record is from Ensembl.